Molecule: non-coding RNA, 54 nt
Organism: Salmo salar (Atlantic salmon)
Lineage: Eukaryota; Metazoa; Chordata; Actinopteri; Salmoniformes; Salmonidae
Source: Rfam
UAUGCACUCUACUGUAAGUCGCUCUGGAUAAGAGCGUCUGCUAAAUGACAAAUG